AGUCUUGGACUAUACCCCAGGGAGGAUGCCCUCAGAAUUUAGGGGGAGCAGUCCUUUCUCCAAAAGUUAAUUCACUCUGGAAAAGACCUCAGAGAUUGAUGGAAUGGUUCUGGAACCAAUUCCAGGAAGAUACCAAGGGUCAUGUGAGUGAGGGAGGGAGUGAAUGAGCAUAGGACAUGAGUGGUGCAUGGCUCUCAUUCUGAAUGCAGCGGUGAAAAGAAAAAAGAAAUCCACAAAGCUGGGAAAGACUCGUGAGUGUUCUCCAAACAGGCUGAGCAGGAAAAUAACAAAGCAGUGCCGAUAAAAUAUACAAAAAGCAUUUGAAAGAAGAAUUGCCAGGGUUUUAUUAAGACAGCAAAAAUAUUAAUUAAAUGCUUAUGAUCUGAUAAAACAACAUCCUCCGAUUUCUACCUGCAUCAUUUAGUCUUCAAAAACACAAAAUAUUAUGUGUUCAGCCUUAUUUUAUAUGUAAAGGCUUUAGAAACUGAAUAUUAAUUUACUUGUUUAAGUCUUGACAAUAGAUAACCAGAAUUCAGAUUUCUAACAUGGUGUGUUUGUAGUCAAAGCCAGAAGUCUUAACCAUUAAAUUAGUGUUACUCAACCUUUAAAAAUUAUAUACAUUUAACAUACUGCAAAGUGCAAAAAAUGAGUGUUUUGUUUAGUAACCUUUGCCACCAAGCAUGCAACAAACAAACAAACAAACAAACAAAAAGAAAAAAACCCCACGUUUUCAUUAUAAUGGAGAAUUCCCAUUUGCCCUGUCCAGUGAAUUUUUCUGUGUUCAAAAGCAAGUGCUUCACUUUCUUAUUUGCUUUCAAACCUAUUUGCUUUGCCGGUUGUCAAUGUAUAUGCUGUUUUUCUGUCCACAUUCUGCUGUCAAACAUUCUUUUAAGAUGCAGACAUUUCAUACAUACUGGAAGUUUGUUAUUUUUUAAUUCUGAAAUUGAUGCUACUCUAUUUACAACUCCACAAUUCAAUUUAACUUUUGCAUUUCAACAUUUGUAACAUUUACAAUUUGGUUCUAUUAUGAGCAACAAUUACUUUGAGAAUUCCUUUCUUUGUCUUUGGUGACAUAUGUUUUCAUUUAUCUUAGGUAAAUGACUAGGGACUGAAUGGUUGGGUCAAAGGGCUGGUGUUUGUUUAUAGGAUUUGCAGCAGUCCUCCACAGUUGGGUUAGAAAAUUUUCUACGCUGUCAGAAUAUAAGGGAGUUCCAUUUACUCAACAACCUUGCAAAAUUUUGUAGGAUUAACCUUUUUGAUUAUACUAUUGUUGUGAAUAUGAAAUUGUGUCUGUACAAUUUUAUAGUUCAAUUAUCAAUUAUAAGUAACUCUGUUCUUGUCAAAAUGACAUUGCUGGACAAUUUUAUUUUAGACAUUCCAGUAAAUGAGACACAAUGCUUAAUUUUGGUUUUUAUUUUUUUCUUUUCAAUUAAGACAUUAUUUUUAGAAAUUUAGUCGUUUUAUAAAAAAAUUGAGGGGAAAGUCCUAACAUCACUCUUGCUUAUAGAAUCUCCUUUAUUAUGAACGUUCUAUGUUAGUACAUUUGUUGCAGCUAAUAAGCCAUAUAGUCUUUUAAACUAAAUCCAUAGCUUGCUCAUUAGCAUGUGGAUAUUUCACCAUCCUAAAGAUUCCUCGUGCUUCAUCCUGCAGAACCCAGGCAAACUGUGGUCUUCUUUACUGCCUCCAAAAUGUGCCUUUUUAAGAAUGUAACACAUUCAUACAUCCAUAUCUUUAAGGGACUGCUUCCAAAACCUCUCUACAGAUAUCAACAACAGAAAACAUAUACUCUCUGUCAUUUUAACAUCUCCCACCAGACCAAUCCAUUUUUUACAAUAGAGGAAUUUGUACUGAAACAUAAUUCUAACCCAAAGUUCAUAAUUUACACUAUGUUUAACUCUUGGUAUUGUUCAUACUACAGGUUUUGACAAAUGUUUAAUACCAUAUGUCCAUCACUAUAGCAUCAUAGAAUAUGUGAUAUUUCUUUUCUUGUGUCUGGCUUACUUCAGAAAAUAUAGCACACUGGGAGAUCAGUGACCCAAACUACCCCAGUGGGUAAUAAAACUUCAAGGAAGCUUAGAUUCCUUUUGUGAUAUUGUGCCGUGUUCACAUACAGGCUAUGCAAUCCUCUGCAUAGUGAAAAUCAUCUCUAAAUGACUUUUAUUUCAUGCAAUGUAAAUUCAUACAAAUAGUUGUCAUAUAAUAUCUUUUAGGGAACACUGCUCUGAGGUCUUCUGUGCUUUUCAUUCUCUCCUUCACUGAUCUUUUAUUCUCUCUCUCUCUCUCUCUCUCUCCCUCUCUCUCUCUCUCUCUGGUUAAUGACACAUGUCUGCACACAUAUAAUUCACAUGCACACAUCUGCACACAAACUGUAACACAAUUUUAUUUUCUGAAUGAAACAUGUUAUCAAGCAUCUUUUAAUAGCCUUAGUUUUGCACACACAUAUUCUUUUGUGAGAUGUCUGCUUAAUUCUUUAGAUUAUUUUAUAGCUGCUUAUUUUCCUUCUUAUUGCUGCUUUGUAAGAGUUCCCCACAUGUGGUGCACAACAGUCUUUUAUCAGGCAUGCAUCUGCUUUGUGAUUUGUCCUUUUAUUUUACUAAUUUCUGAGAAUGAGUACAUUUAUGAAUUUAAAGAACAUUUGUACGUUGUCUUCGAGUGUUUCAUCCUAUUGCCCACUUCUUAAUUUGGUUGUCUUUUUAAUCUUUGAUUUUCCUAGAAAGCCUAUUAUUCAUGUUCAUUAAUUCCUCAUUUCAUAUUUUGAUAAUGUUUGAUUUUAAGUUUUUUGAAAAAUCCAUUUCAUUUAAGUUGUCCAAUUUAUUAGCUAACAGUUGUAAAUAUUAUAAACAUUCCUUUAUUUACAGGUAAUUUCUUCAUUGUUAAAGAAAAACUUAAUAAUUUUCAUUUAAGGAAGGGAAAGGAUAAAAGAAUCCCCCUCUGUGACUCUGUGACUGUCUCUGUAUAAUAUGGUAGUUUCACCAUGCAGUCUUAUUUUUUAUUAUAUUUUUAUUUAUUACUAAUAUUGCAUGUAUGUGUGGCAGAACGCAGAGGGAUCAUUUUCCACAGCAUGACUAUAGCAGGCAGAGGACAGCUUUGGGGAUUCAAUUCUCCCUUCAACCUCUGUAUGAAUUUUGGGGAUCAAACUGCAUUUUGUGCAUUCUUAAUAUAAUGGAUAACUCUCUCUCUCUCUCUCUCUCUCUCUCUCUCUCUCCCUCUCUCUGUCUCCUUUCACUCUCAUUCUCUUUUUCCAUUCUUUUCUGCUAGUAUUUUAACAAUGUACCAGGGUGUUUUUUUAAGUUUUAAAAAUGAAUUGUUUUCUUCUGUAAUUUUCCAUCAUAUUUUCUAUCUCAACUCAAUUUUGUUCUGUGCAAGUAAAUAUCAUUGAUUUUAAAAUAUUUCCUCUUUUGCAGUAUAGGUAUUUAUAGUCACAUAGAUUUUGUUGGUUUAUAAUAUAUAAUAUACUAAUAUCUGAAAAUGUUUGCUAUGUUUGGGCUUAUUACUAAUUUAAACAACUUCAUAAUUUUCUCUUUAACUCAAGGUAUAUUUAUAGUUUUGCUAAUUACAAAACAUUUUGACAUUUUAUGCAAAUUGUAAUCAUGUUACUUUCUAAUUUAUUUCCAUUGUAAACAGUGAACAUGUACAUUAUGACCACAGUCAUUAUAUAUAUUUUUCCAGCUUAAUUCUCUAUUUUAGGUUUAUUUUGAAAUAAUAAAUAAAAUGUAUUCUUGUGCAUUUUAGUUCUAUAAAACCUUGAGCAUAUUGUUUUCAUGAUCUAUAUCCAUACAGAUUUUCACCAUGGUGUAUCAAUUAUUCAAAGAAGUGUAAAAUUUCUAAUUAUGUUUAUAAAUUUGACUUAGUUUGACUUUUUAACUUAAUAUGACAUUAACAUUUUUGUUGCAUGAUGUUUUUGUAAAUUCUUAGGUUGCACAUAUCAUGUGUAAUUAUAACUUUUUAAUUGGACUCUUAAUUGAUGUGAAAUGCCUCUUUAUAUAUGUAGAUAUGUUCUGAAAUAUUCUUUGUUUGACACCAAUAGGGCCACACCUUCUUUCUCUAGCUUGGCCAUUAUCUAUUUUGUUUCAUCCUUCAGUCCUUGAACCUAUCCAAGUCAGUUACAUGAAGAUACAGUUCUUGGGAGCUUCAUUGAUGUCACAACUCAUGAGUUUUCAACUUUACAAUGGUGAAAAUAUGCACAGAUUGUGUGGAAACCAUGCUUUGGAUUGUUUCCUGGACUUGUGAUAGACUAUGUGACAUUCUCUCACAGUGAUGAGCAGUGACAGCAAGAUGUAGCUACAAGCCAGUCAUUCAUUCAGUCAUGAGAGUAAUCAAAUGAUACCCUACGGUGUUCAGUAUUACCAUGUUUUUGGAUUUUGUUUUAUCAUUUUGCUGUCCAUUAUACCUUCCUUAAAAAACAUCUGUAUAUUAAUGUGAUAUAGUCAACACUUUAUUAUAAAAUGUCUUUUUGUUAGAUGAUAUUGCCCAACUGUAGUCUGAAGUAAGUGUUCUGAACACAUUAACAUAGGCCGGGUUAACCUGUGCUGUUCAAUAUGUUAGGGGUAUUAAAUGUCAUUUUCAAACUAUGGACUUUCAAAUAUACAAUGGGCUAUUGGAGUAUAAUCCUGCCACAAACUGAAGAAAUCUGUAGAUAUGUAGUCUCUCUCUGUCUCUCUCUGUCUCUGUCUCUCUGUCUGUCUGUCUCUCUCUCUCUGAAUGUGUGUAUGAUGUGAACCUGUAAUGAAAGAUAUUAUAAUAACUUGGCUUACAAAAUUAUGGUUGAGAUUUGUAGGUUGAAUGUCAACAUGCUGCAACCCCAGCAAAACCUGUGGUUUACUUCCAAAUGUGGGCCUGUGCAUCCAAGGACAUGGGAAGUUGACAGUGAAGAGGCAGUCCAAACCUAGGCAGAGCCAAGACCCAAUAAGAACUAAGUUUCAGGUAGAGUUCAAAGGUAGGAAAAAAACUAUGAUGUCUCAGAAAGAAGGAAAUUUGACAGGGAAAGUUCUAUCCUCUUAAACAAAAGAGCAUCAGCUUCUUUUGUCUAUUCAGGCCAUAACCUGCUUGAAUGCAGCCUUCCUGAAUGAUUUAGGGUAUUAUGCUUUUUCAUUCUACCAGAUUAAACAGGAAUUUCAUCCAAAACACUCCCAAAGAUAUACUUGGAGUAUCUUUGAUUGAAUAGCCAGGUGUCAUAUGAUCCAGAUAAAUGCAUGCUAAAUUUAAUUACCAUACUCAAGUUUUGAUUUUAUAAACUAAAAAAAAUCAAGGAGUACUUCCUCCAUUAGUUGGGGAAAAACCAUCCAGUGUACUCUAUCCUAUUAGGGAAUACUUACUUAUAACAUUUAGUGUAACUACUGUUAAGAUUGGGUGUAAGUUGAGGGAUUUAUUUUUUCUAGGUUAUGUCAUCUGUUUUUGUUUCUCAUUUAGAAUUGAUCAAAUUUUAGCAUUUGAUUUUCUGUUCCUUCUUAACUUUUUCUUACCAUCUUUUUUUCUGUUAAUGUGCCAUACAAUAUAAUACUCUUAUUUUAUUUAUUCAGUGUUCUUUUGUUCUCUAGGCUAGCCAGCAACUCACUAUACCCCUGCCUAAGUCUCCUGUGCUGGGAUUACAAGUGCCCACAGCCAUGCCUGCUCCAUCACACUUCUCUUUAACCCCGCCUAUAUCAAAAUACUAUCUAAGUCAUGAAUAAGAGAUUUAGAGCAGUGCAAUUCUAUUUAAAAUCCUCAUAAGUUUUGAGUUCUCAUUGUCAUGAAUUUUACGUCUUAAUAUGACAAAAAUCUCAGGACAUUAAUUUGCCUUGCAGUGUGCUGUUACUAUGGAUAGUGAUUUUGUACCAUGCAUCUCAUAAAAGUAGAAAAUGGAUUUUGAAUGUUUCCAUUACAAAGAAGUGAUGAUGGAGGAGGACGAUAUGCUUAACCUGAUUAUCAACAUAUGAAUGUGUGGAGUCAUCACAUGGUACCUAUUAUUAUGUAAAGAUUUUAUGUUUUUAUGUAUUAGCUUCAAAAUUAAUUUAAAAAUGCAUUCAUUGGUUGUCAUCUGGCAAUAAGAUCAUUCUUAUUGCUGUUCAGCUCUAUGGAAGCUUUCCACGUUGUUACCCUUAUGAUACAUCUUUAUGUUUUGCUUUUGAAAGUUCAUAAACAGAAUCAUCUAUUUAUCAUGUUUGGGAUUCUAUAGCCUUAUUGGGCAAGCAGGUUAAUAUGAAUCACAAUUUUCCCUAAAUUCUAAGCCAUUCUCUCCUCCAAUAAUUCUGCCACUUUCUCUCUCCUACUACCCCUACAUCUCCAACUGUAAAUGCAUAUAUUCUUCUUCUUCAUGAGUAUUGGAUGCACUUUUACAUUCUUUUUCUUUUUUUUCUGCACUUCAGACUGAAUGUCUUUAUGUGUCUGUCUCCAGGCUCACAGUUCUGUUGUUCUGUUAUUAUAUUCAGUUUGCUCCUAAGUCCACUGAAUUCAUCAUUUGUUUUAUUAUUGUACUUUUCUAUUAAAUUAUUUCCACUUUUCCCUUUUGUAAUUAUUUUAGCUGAAAUAUCACAUUGUUUCAUGUGCACCCUCUACCUUUGUCAGAAUAUAAUGGAUCACAUUGAUUAUGGCUAUUAAAAAUCUAUCAGUUCAAGUGUCUAGUUUGUGUCUAAAUCCUCUUGUAAUGGAGAAUGCCAUGCUUAUCCAUGGAUCUUAUUAUUUCACAUCUGCUCAUUUCUGACUAUGUAUUG
Molecule: long non-coding RNA, 6689 nt
Organism: Nannospalax galili (Upper Galilee mountains blind mole rat)
Lineage: Eukaryota; Metazoa; Chordata; Mammalia; Rodentia; Spalacidae
Exons: 3
Source: RefSeq, a predicted model, not a curated record